GCUUGGGAUCAGUGGCACAAUUUUUUUGCACCUUUUUCUUCUUUCUUCUCUUAGAGGAUUAACGACCUGCAGACGAACCUUCCACUACAUGCACCGGCUCCUUCUAAAGCUGAUGGUCCUUCUCGAACAUCUGCAGUAAUCCUAGCAAAUUAUGGUAGUUCACCAUAGGUUUGGUCAUUCUAUAAUGACUCAAGAAGGAUAAGUAGGAUUUCAGUAGCG
Molecule: long non-coding RNA, 219 nt
Filed under: Elaeis guineensis (African oil palm)
Lineage: Eukaryota; Viridiplantae; Streptophyta; Magnoliopsida; Arecales; Arecaceae
Description: long non-coding RNA (EGUI_LNC060369)
Source: RNAcentral